Molecule: transfer RNA, 76 nt
Filed under: Mycobacterium sp. Root265
Lineage: Bacteria; Bacillati; Actinomycetota; Actinomycetes; Mycobacteriales; Mycobacteriaceae
Description: tRNA-Asn
Rfam family: tRNA
About the family: Transfer RNA (tRNA) molecules are approximately 80 nucleotides in length.
Source: RNAcentral
UGGCAUAUAGCUCAAUCGGCAGAGCAGCGCACUGUUAAUGCGCCGGUUGGAGGUUCGAGUCCUCCUAUGCCAGCUA